GGGACUAGAGAUGUAGUUACCCUUGGAGAGAAUUAUGAACCCUAAGAAGGUGUUCAAGUAGAGUGCUUGAUCUCUCCUUUCUUGCUUAUCCACUAUGGCUCUCCAAUAGGUAAAAUAGUGUGCAACUCACCAAAGCUCUUCACCAAGGAUGGAUGGAGAUGAGAGAUAGAGAACUUGGGAGAGUACAAGGGUGCUAGCUCUUGCUCUCCGAAGGCCAAGGGCGACUUGAGAGAAAAAGGUUUGAUGUAUCUUCUCUUCCAAUUUUCCAACUUGAAAACCCUAAAUGAAAUGGUGCUAUGACAUCUAAUUUAUAGAUCCAUAUUGUGACACAUCUCCGCACCCUCCCUUUGGUAGGCCUAAUUUUGGGUU
RNAcentral lists this long non-coding RNA (369 nucleotides) under Prunus persica (peach). RNAcentral describes it as "long non-coding RNA (PPER_LNC004477)". Lineage: Eukaryota; Viridiplantae; Streptophyta; Magnoliopsida; Rosales; Rosaceae. The record is from RNAcentral.